AGGAAAAGAAUCCCUGGAGUAAUGAACUCUCCCCAAUGCCGCUGGUCUCCGUUCACUAUCAAGUGCGGUAAACCGUCUGACCCGCAUAACAAUCCGUACUUCCCGUAGUUGUCGAACCUAACAUACAUUCAUAAGCACAUCAACUUCAAACCAAUCCACAGUUCCACAAGCUCCUCAAUAGAUCAUAUCAAUGAUCAAAUUUAACAUGUCUAGCAACUUCGAAAACUCACUAACUCACCAAAAAAAUCAUACUAAAGCAAUGGAUCUAGCAAGUAAUUCACUAAAACAGAGAAAAACUCUGUUUCAGAACAGAGGAAAGCUCUGUUUCAGAACAGAGAAAAAGCUCUGGUUUAACGAAGAAAUAGAAAUGGAAGACGAACCUGCGUUUGGUUUUCUCGAUCUGAGCAUUGAGAGCAAGAGCAGGGGCAGAUUCAGGAGCGUAGAGCUUAAGAGAAGAUUCAAGCUUCUUGAUCUGUUGCUUCUCUCUUUUAGCGAACUGUUUUGAGUCCUUGCAAGGAGUCAAACCUGAGAUAUCAGCGACAGCUGGCAUAGGAGCAGAGAGGAGGAUGGAAGAGAGGGCGACGGCGGCGGAGAAAGCUUUCAUGGAUUGAGGUGUGGAGGAGGAGGAUUUGUCAUCGGAGCAGACGAAUCUUGCGGAGGAUUUAGGUACGGAUUGAGUGAGAGAUUUGUUAGAUCUCGGGUUGAGAACGAGAUUCGCCGGGAUAGUGAGCGACAUGGCGCUUUGUCGGGUUCUUUGGAGAUUUCGAAUUCUAGGGUUCUGGA
RNAcentral lists this long non-coding RNA (783 nucleotides) under Arabidopsis thaliana (thale cress). RNAcentral describes it as "long non-coding RNA (ATHA_LNC000537)". The record is from RNAcentral. Lineage: Eukaryota; Viridiplantae; Streptophyta; Magnoliopsida; Brassicales; Brassicaceae.